Long non-coding RNA from Notothenia coriiceps (black rockcod), 291 nucleotides. RefSeq lists it as uncharacterized. The transcript has 3 exons. The record is from RefSeq and is a predicted model, not a curated record. Lineage: Eukaryota; Metazoa; Chordata; Actinopteri; Perciformes; Nototheniidae.
GAAAUGAUAACUAUAGUUCUCUAGUGAAAAAGUUAGGUUGAAUUUCAAUGUGUUCAGAUUUAACACUUACAUUCAUCUUUAUUCUUAUUAUUCAUGUGUUUUUUUCCAGGACAUCCCUCUACGGUCUACCAUCUCCAGGAUCACUGAGAGCUUUGAGGAGUCUCUAGAGGAACCGUUCUCCUUGCCCUCGGCUCCGUUCAGCAGCUAUAAGAACAAAUCCCAGAAGAGCAAGUUUGACGAGGAGCUGCACAACGAGAUGACCACCACCAUCGAUGAGCUCAGCAGCAAGUA